CCAAAGAAGAGGCGGAGCGGGAAUCUUCUGACCACAACGCGAUGAUGCAGGGAAUUGGUCCACCAUACUGCUGGAGUUUAAGUGAAUCUGUUAAAAGAUGGCUGGUGAGGUUUUCCUGAGAAUCCUCAUUGGUGGGGACCAAGAUUCCGGAGAACUGGUCCUUGAGACUGGAAUCCCAGAGUCUGUUGAUGAACUUUGUAUCAAAAUAAAGAGUUCUUUUGGACUUGUCAAGCCAUUCAGGCUUCAGUACCAGGACAAUGACUUUGGGAAUGAAUACAUGAAUUUCUCUGCGACCUCUGAAAGACCGAAGUACUCUGAAAGUGAUAUUCUUUUCCAGUGAGGCCACAACCUUUGAUGAGUUAAAUGAGUUAAGUACACCAAUAACCGCUUCAAGCUUUCCUACUCCUCUGAUCCAGGCUUGUAUUGUACCCAAUUCAGCCUCCUCCCUAGAUCAAGAGGAUCCUGUGUCAUUUGAGUCAUGUGACAGUAACAGUACAAUACUGUUGUCUUCUCCUGAGACGACGUCACGUUCUUGGCCAGAAGUCUUUGUUGUAUCUUGCUUUGUAUGUGCUGCAGAGCUACAACUUGAGAGAGGAAAUGCAGAGAUGGAACUUUACUCUCACCUCCUCUGAACUUGAGAUCUGAUGUUCUUGAGGGUAUGUCUGAAGAAAUUAUUAAGGACACCGCUUACCCCAAAGAUAGUCAGCUGGAAGAAGCCGCCAAGGCCCUGACAAAGACUCACCCCUGUUUGCGUGAGAGGGGAUCUGAAACUGGCUAUGACGGAUAGAAGCAAUACCAAAAGGUGACAAUGGCUAACUCGCGCUCUAUUCUUGGGCGACAUGGACAUCCAGAAGUCACAGUCAACUCCCUGGUCAAGGAAAGCCAGCUGCCAACAUUAAGAAGGCAGAGGUGAACUUUCUUCCAUGUUACCCAAAAGGAGAAACCAGAGACAGUCUGGAGAAGGAACAGGUUGCUCUUUUGACUGAAGUGAAGAAAAAGAACAAUGGAGCAGUGAUCAGAGAAAAAAAUGCUACUUAUCUUCUCGUCCAGAAGACAAGAAGUGGUUUUCAAACAUGCCAAUGGUUGCUGAAAUCUGAAAUAGAUGGCCAGCAGUUUUUGAGGCUGAAGAAGUUAAUGCAGAGUUUAUGCGGGUAAAUGUAUAUUGCCUCUUGAAUCACGGUUCAUCUCCCAGUUGGACAAGCACUCGGACAACCUUAUGAAGGUAUUCCGCAACAAGGUGGGAGUUGCAGGAAAGAAGAUCCGUCAGAUAAUGUCAUUGACAACUAAGACAGAUGACAUACACGUUUAAGCGAGAGUGAAUCUUGAAAUGCAUGUGUCUACCUGAAUGAGGACACCAAGCCACUCGUCAAGGAAUACUCGCCCUUGUUCUUUGCAGGGAUGGGUGAGGGACACACUGCCAGCUGUUUGGUGAGCAAGUGAGUGGUCAAAAAGCAUCAACAUAGAUGACAUGGAGAGGGAGUUUCCUCUGACAACCAUGGGGGUCUACGAGGUCAGAAAAGAAAAUGCAGAGCCUGAAGAAGAUCCAGAGGGUGUGGGAGUGCUGAUUGAAGGGGUGGAGGUUCUUGCUGGCCUACCAAGUAUCACUUGUGGAUGCGCCAUGCUGUUUGCAUUGAUCUAUGCACUCAAUUUGAGCUACCCACAAGCGUGGAAGUGCACAUUUGAAGUGUACCAGAAGAUACUGAUGAACCUUGAUGUGCACGUUCGCUGACAGCUUCAAAGGAACGUCGAGAGAAAUGUUUCCUGCUCUUCAUCUUCACCAGAGGGGUUUGCUCUUCACCGCCGGAACAUCUGGAUUCUCCAAAGCGGUCAAAAAACACUCCCACACCAGUUCCUACUAAAACAAGGUUUGGUAGAGUCAUGGUAAAACCCAAGAGACUGGACUUAAAUAAACAGAAUACGAUUUUCCUUGAAAAAAAAGGGUAGUGGAAUGUGAAGUUUAUGCUGGGUAUGUGAAAUUUAACAGGUAUAUCUUUAAAUCCAUAAGAAUUUGCAAAUUAUAUUGACUUGAGGUGAGUUUGGGGGUCCUACUCCUCCAAACUUGUUGCUUCUUAUAUACUGAAUGUUUGUAGUUCUUAACAUAAUCAAGGUGUUUUUAUUUACUUUGUUAAUCUAUCAUAUUUAUUUUAAUCUAUUAUACUUAUGUUUUUUUCCUACAUCUCUUACAACAUAAUUUGCAAAAAACAUGCAAACUCGCCAACAACGUCAUCUAUGGCCUUCCGGGACAGCCAAUAGAUACUUGUCUUUCUGAGGAGUUGUCAACAUUGAUGCCAACCGCGAUAAUACAGAUGAAGAGGAAAACACUUGUAGACGGUCCCUGCGCUCCGGUCUCGCUGCCGGCUUCUCACAGAGAUCAAUAUAAGUCAAACUGCACAGAACACGGCUCGUUUUGAUAAAAACAUAGUUGUAGCUGUUUGUCUGUGUUACCAUGGUUGGAAAGAGGUAUGGUUUACUGUGUUAGAGCCAUUCACUUGGGAGUUAUUGAUCCCGGAAGUUUGAAUAUGUGAAUAUGUUUGCAGCUUUACCACAGUCGCUUUUGUGUUCCCUCGCAUAUUUUUUUUU
Long non-coding RNA from Dunckerocampus dactyliophorus (ringed pipefish), 2580 nucleotides. RefSeq lists it as uncharacterized. The record is from RefSeq and is a predicted model, not a curated record. Lineage: Eukaryota; Metazoa; Chordata; Actinopteri; Syngnathiformes; Syngnathidae. The transcript has 7 exons.